GGCGGGACACGUGGUAUCCUGUCUGAAUAUGGGGGGACCAUCCUCCAAGGCUAAAUACUCCUGACUGACCGAUAGUGAACCAGUACCGUGAGGGAAAGGCGAAAAGAACCCCGGCGAGGGGAGUGAAAAAGAACCUGAAACCGUGUACGUACAAGCAGUGGGAGCACCUUCGGGUGUGACUGCGUACCUUUUGUAUAAUGGGUCAGCGACUUAUAUUCUGUAGCAAGGUUAACCGUAUAGGGGAGCCGAAGGGAAACCGAGUCUUAACUGGGCGUUAAGUUGCAGGGUAUAGACCCGAAACCCGGUGAUCUAGCCAUGGGCAGGUUGAAGGUUGGGUAACACUAACUGGAGGACCGAACCGACUAAUGUUGAAAAAUUAGCGGAUGACCUGUGGCUGGGGGUGAAAGGCCAAUCAAACCGGGAGAUAGCUGGUUCUCCCCGAAAGCUAUUUAGGUAGCGCCUCGUGAACUCAUCUUCGGGGGUAGAGCACUGUUUCGGCUAGGGGGCCAUCCCGGCUUACCAACCCGAUGCAAACUACGAAUACCGAAGAAUGUUAUCACGGGAGACACACGGCGGGUGCUAACGUCCGUCGUGAAGAGGGAAACAACCCAGACCGCCAGCUAAGGUCCCAAAGUCAUGGUUAAGUGGGAAACGAUGUGGGAAGGCACAGACAGCCAGGAUGUUGGCUUAGAAGCAGCCAUCAUUUAAAGAAAGCGUAAUAGCUCACUGGUCGAGUCGGCCUGCGCGGAAGAUGUAACGGGGCUAAACCAUGCACCGAAGCUGCGGCAGCGACACUAUGUGUUGUUGGGUAGGGGAGCGUUCUGUAAGCCGUUGAAGGUGUGCUGUGAGGCAUGCUGGAGGUAUCAGAAGUGCGAAUGCUGACAUAAGUAACGAUAAAGCGGGUGAAAAGCCCGCUCGCCGGAAGACCAAGGGUUCCUGUCCAACGUUAAUCGGGGCAGGGUGAGUCGACCCCUAAGGCGAGGCCGAAAGGCGUAGUCGAUGGGAAACAGGUUAAUAUUCCUGUACUUGGUGUUACUGCGAAGGGGGGACGGAGAAGGCUAUGUCAGCCGGGCGACGGUUGUCCCGGUUUAAGCAUGUAGGCGGAGGUUCCAGGUAAAUCCGGUACCUUUUAACGCUGAGGUGUGAUGACGAGGCACUACGGUGCUGAAGUGAUAAAUGCCCUGCUUCCAGGAAAAGCCUCUAAGCAUCAGGUAACACGAAAUCGUACCCCAAACCGACACAGGUGGUCAGGUAGAGAAUACCAAGGCGCUUGAGAGAACUCGGGUGAAGGAACUAGGCAAAAUGGUGCCGUAACU
This 1316-nucleotide ribosomal RNA is filed under the name Enterobacter hormaechei subsp. xiangfangensis. RNAcentral describes it as "partial 23S ribosomal RNA". It matches the Rfam family "Bacterial large subunit ribosomal RNA", at positions 416 to 1735 of the family's 2925-position model. Lineage: Bacteria; Pseudomonadati; Pseudomonadota; Gammaproteobacteria; Enterobacterales; Enterobacteriaceae. The record is from RNAcentral.